UACGUAGGGGGCAAGCGUUAUCCGGAUUUACUGGGUGUAAAGGGAGCGUAGACGGCAGAGCAAGUCUGAAGUGAAAGCCCGCGGCCCAACUGCGGGACUGCUUUGGAAACUGCCCGGCUAGAGUGCUGGAGAGGUAAGCGGAAUUCCUAGUGUAGCGGUGAAAUGCGUAGAUAUUAGGAGGAACACCAGUGGCGAAGGCGGCUUACUGGACAGUAACUGACGCUGAGGCGCGAAAGCGUGGGGAGCAAAUAGG
This 253-nucleotide ribosomal RNA is filed under the name uncultured bacterium. Its description in RNAcentral is "partial 16S ribosomal RNA". It matches the Rfam family "Bacterial small subunit ribosomal RNA", at positions 524 to 776 of the family's 1533-position model. The record is from RNAcentral.